Molecule: ribosomal RNA, 253 nt
Filed under: uncultured bacterium
Lineage: Bacteria
Description: partial 16S ribosomal RNA
Rfam family: Bacterial small subunit ribosomal RNA
Source: RNAcentral
UACGUAGGGCGCAAGCGUUGUCCGGAAUUAUUGGGCGUAAAGGGCUCGUAGGCGGUUUGUCGCGUCGGGAGUGAAAACCUACAGCUUAACUGUGGGCUUGCUUUCGAUACGGGCAGACUUGAGGCAUGCAGGGGAGAACGGAAUUCCUGGUGUAGCGGUGAAAUGCGCAGAUAUCAGGAGGAACACCGGUGGCGAAGGCGGUUCUCUGGGCAUGUUCUGACGCUGAGGAGCGAAAGUGUGGGGAGCGAACAGG